This 252-nucleotide ribosomal RNA is filed under the name uncultured bacterium. RNAcentral describes it as "partial 16S ribosomal RNA". It matches the Rfam family "Bacterial small subunit ribosomal RNA", at positions 524 to 776 of the family's 1533-position model. The record is from RNAcentral.
UACGUAGGGGGCAAGCGGUGUCCGGAUUUAUUGGGCGUAAAGAGCGUGUAGGCGGCUUGGUAGGUCUCGCGUCAAAACCUGAGGCUCAACCUCAGUUCGCGUGGGAAACCACCUAGCUAGAGUCCGGAAGAGGAGAACGGAAUUCCCAGUGUAGCGGUGAAAUGCGCAGAUAUUGGGAAGAACACCAGUGGCGAAGGCGGUUCUCUGGGACGGUACUGACGCUGAGACGCGAAAGCGUGGGGAGCGAACAGG